ACUGCGAAGCCCAGCUGCGCGCGCCUUGGGAUUGACUGUCCACGCUCGCCCGGCUCGUCCGACGCGCCCUCCGCCAGCCGACAGACACAGCCGCACGCACUGCCGUGUUCUCCCUGCGGCUCGGACACAUAGUAUGACCAUUAGGUGUUUCGUCUCCCACCCAUUUUCUAUGGAAAACCAAGGGGAUCGGGCCAUGAUAGCCACUGGCAGCUUUGAAGAACGGGACACCUUUAGAGAAGCUUGAUCUUGGAGGCCUCACCGUGAGACCUUACAAAGCCGGCUCUGACCUGGACCCCUCAUCCCUGCCUGUCUUGUGGUGUAAGUGCGGAUCCCCCUAAGUUGGAGGAAAGGAAACUGGCCCAAACAAAAAGGAGAGCAGUUUUCUCUGCAUCACAUGCUCUCCAGAUGAACCACAGAAGCAGGAAUGUGGGCAUCAUCAGUGAAAUCUCUGCAUACAGCAGACAAAGGGCUGGUCCAGUGGCUGUUUAUGAGGCAGCGCUAGGAGAGCUCUGAUCCAGACUCUCCCUGCAGUGAAA
RNAcentral lists this long non-coding RNA (536 nucleotides) under Homo sapiens (human). Its description in RNAcentral is "non-protein coding lnc-UCP3-2:2". Lineage: Eukaryota; Metazoa; Chordata; Mammalia; Primates; Hominidae. The record is from RNAcentral.